Unclassified non-coding RNA from Microcebus murinus (gray mouse lemur), 95 nucleotides. NCBI's taxonomy places the organism in Eukaryota, Metazoa, Chordata, Mammalia, Primates, Cheirogaleidae. The record is from Ensembl.
CCUUCACAAUGGCUGUGCCCAUCAGUUGCCAGGUGUUUGAUUCAAGGAUUUUCUGAGCCUGAUGCAUUUACAGUGCUAUUUGGUGGCCUGGGGAA